UUAAAUUGAAGAGUUUGAUCAUGGCUCAGAUUGAACGCUGGCGGCAGGCCUAACACAUGCAAGUCGAACGGUAACAGGAAGCAGCUUGCUGCUUUGCUGACGAGUGGCGGACGGGUGAGUAAUGUCUGGGAAACUGCCUGAUGGAGGGGGAUAACUACUGGAAACGGUAGCUAAUACCGCAUAACGUCGCAAGACCAAAGAGGGGGACCUUCGGGCCUCUUGCCAUCGGAUGUGCCCAGAUGGGAUUAGCUUGUUGGUGGGGUAACGGCUCACCAAGGCGACGAUCCCUAGCUGGUCUGAGAGGAUGACCAGCCACACUGGAACUGAGACACGGUCCAGACUCCUACGGGAGGCAGCAGUGGGGAAUAUUGCACAAUGGGCGCAAGCCUGAUGCAGCCAUGCCGCGUGUAUGAAGAAGGCCUUCGGGUUGUAAAGUACUUUCAGCGGGGAGGAAGGGAGUAAAGUUAAUACCUUUGCUCAUUGACGUUACCCGCAGAAGAAGCACCGGCUAACUCCGUGCCAGCAGCCGCGGUAAUACGGAGGGUGCAAGCGUUAAUCGGAAUUACUGGGCGUAAAGCGCACGCAGGCGGUUUGUUAAGUCAGAUGUGAAAUCCCCGGGCUCAACCUGGGAACUGCAUCUGAUACUGGCAAGCUUGAGUCUCGUAGAGGGGGGUAGAAUUCCAGGUGUAGCGGUGAAAUGCGUAGAGAUCUGGAGGAAUACCGGUGGCGAAGGCGGCCCCCUGGACGAAGACUGACGCUCAGGUGCGAAAGCGUGGGGAGCAAACAGGAUUAGAUACCCUGGUAGUCCACGCCGUAAACGAUGUCGACUUGGAGGUUGUGCCCUUGAGGCGUGGCUUCCGGAGCUAACGCGUUAAGUCGACCGCCUGGGGAGUACGGCCGCAAGGUUAAAACUCAAAUGAAUUGACGGGGGCCCGCACAAGCGGUGGAGCAUGUGGUUUAAUUCGAUGCAACGCGAAGAACCUUACCUGGUCUUGACAUCCACAGAACCUUGUAGAGAUACGAGGGUGCCUUCGGGAACUGUGAGACAGGUGCUGCAUGGCUGUCGUCAGCUCGUGUUGUGAAAUGUUGGGUUAAGUCCCGCAACGAGCGCAACCCUUAUCCUUUGUUGCCAGCGGUCCGGCCGGGAACUCAAAGGAGACUGCCAGUGAUAAACUGGAGGAAGGUGGGGAUGACGUCAAGUCAUCAUGGCCCUUACGACCAGGGCUACACACGUGCUACAAUGGCGCAUACAAAGAGAAGCGACCUCGCGAGAGCAAGCGGACCUCAUAAAGUGCGUCGUAGUCCGGAUUGGAGUCUGCAACUCGACUCCAUGAAGUCGGAAUCGCUAGUAAUCGUGGAUCAGAAUGCCACGGUGAAUACGUUCCCGGGCCUUGUACACACCGCCCGUCACACCAUGGGAGUGGGUUGCAAAAGAAGUAGGUAGCUUAACCUUCGGGAGGGCGCUUACCACUUUGUGAUUCAUGACUGGGGUGAAGUCGUAACAAGGUAACCGUAGGGGAACCUGCGGUUGGAUCACCUCCUUA
Molecule: ribosomal RNA, 1544 nt
Filed under: Escherichia coli W
Lineage: Bacteria; Pseudomonadati; Pseudomonadota; Gammaproteobacteria; Enterobacterales; Enterobacteriaceae
Description: 16S ribosomal RNA
Rfam family: Bacterial small subunit ribosomal RNA
Source: RNAcentral